ACCAGCAAACAGACUGAAAAAGGAUUGAAAUUACCUCCUUUUCCCCUAGAAGUCAAGCUAUGAAGCACUUUAUAGUCUGUAAAUAAGCUGCAGGAGUGAUCCGUGUUCUUGAAGAGCUAGGUUGGCCCCAUUGGGUGGGGCUUAGUGUCAUGGCUCCUUUCUCCACUAGAUGGCGCUGCUUAGCUUACUAGAGUGGAUUGUUGUGGUGCUUGCAGGUGUGUAUGCACGUGUGCCAGAGUUGCGAAAAUGGCGUCACCCAGUUAUCCAGUCUGUAGUAUCCAGCUUCUGUGCUCUGCCCAACCAGCAAAUGCGCACCCGUCCUUUGUCUCCAGCCUCCGUCCACUCCCUGCUUUUACAUUGUGACCAAGCCGUGGGGUUGCCAGGCAGCACCUCCCUCCUGAGUUUUAUAUCAGAUGGGGCUGUGUUUCCCGACCCCUCACUUCUGAGGGACUGCGGCUUUGACCCGCUGAGAUCCUGUGGGUCUCACUGAGCAACGGCCAGGUGCAGGCUGCACCCAGAAAUGUUUGUGGGACCAUGCUGCUGCCGAUGCCCAGAGACUGCGGCUGAGUGCCAGCCUGCCCCAGAAAACCUUUGCGUGAUCAUGUAGCAGCAGCGUUUCAGGGAUUUUGGAAAAUCACAACACACAUCGGCACCAGGCUUCACUUUUAAGGACCUUGUUUCAGCACCCGCGAAUGUGGUUGUUCUCUGGGGUCCGCUGGGACCAGGUGGAUACACAGCUUCUACCAAAUGCAUUUCAGCAGUGGAACUGCUUCUCUCGUGUGGCCCGAGGACCUUCUGGACUCCAUUCUGCUCCUGGGGAUUCGCCCUUCUCACCAGAGCACCGCCAGAUACAUUAAUAUUGACAAGGGAGGAAGAAUACGUUUGGUCUAAGUAGGGAUGAAAAAGGUGGCAAUACACACAUGGCUUCUGGCUGGAGCAGAGUUACCAUGAGCCUCAGCCCUUGAGAUGAUGAAAUGUUCAGAGAGGACGCGACUGCAGCAGCCUGUGGUGUAUGUUUCCUUGGUAGAAGGUCACUCAGUCCCUAACUGUGCCCCAGAAGAGAGGAAACACACCCCUAAACCAUUUCUGGUUCGUCUUCUUCUCAUACAUCCAUAUACAUUUUCUUUUAUUCUGUGGGUUAAUUUUUAAGGGUGAACUGCUAAAACCACUGAAAUUUGCAAGGAUGUUAAAAGAUUUAGAUUCCAAUAAAUAAUUAUAGUGCCUCCUGAGUAUCAGUGUAAAUGCUUCCUUAUCACCUUAAAUUAUGACAAUAGAAGGUAAAUCUGGUUAGCAAACCUGGAGAAAUAAAUAUUUAAAGAAAAUGAAAACUCAGUUUAGGCUUAAGAAAUAUUUUUCAAACCUUCAUUUUCAGAGUCAGAAAUCUUUGUGGCUGUGAAUUCCUUGUGGAAAUUCACUAUGUGUCACACAACAGGGCAUGUCGGGGGAGCCCACCCAACACUCUUGUUCCCUCAUGAGGCUAUUUUGUAUGUCUGUAGUAUCCAAGAACUCUGCUACACAAUUUAAAAAGCAAUGGCUUAUAACGUUAAAUUUUUAAUAAAUACCAGUUUUGACAAUGA
This is a long non-coding RNA of Felis catus (domestic cat), 1577 nucleotides long. RefSeq lists it as uncharacterized. Lineage: Eukaryota; Metazoa; Chordata; Mammalia; Carnivora; Felidae. The record is from RefSeq and is a predicted model, not a curated record. The transcript has 2 exons.